RNAcentral lists this transfer RNA (74 nucleotides) under Erysipelotrichaceae bacterium. Its description in RNAcentral is "tRNA-Trp". It matches the Rfam family "tRNA". Rfam says of the family: Transfer RNA (tRNA) molecules are approximately 80 nucleotides in length. Lineage: Bacteria; Bacillati; Bacillota; Erysipelotrichia; Erysipelotrichales; Erysipelotrichaceae. The record is from RNAcentral.
AGGGGUGUAGUUAAAUGGCAUAACUAUGGUCUCCAAAACCAUCAUUGCGGGUUCGAUUCCUGUCACCCCUGCCA